AUGGUCUACUUGGCCUGGAACAUACCUCUCCAGAACUCCGGAAUAGAUUUUGGGGACAUUUCUUCCAGAAUGGCACUCCGGGAAAAGCUGAAGUGUCAAACUUUUGACUGGUACCUGAAAAAUGUUUACCCACUCUUGAAGCCAAUACACACCAUCAUAGGCUAUGGAACAAUGAAAAACCUAUUGGAUGAAAAUGUCUGCCUGGAUCAGGGAGCCAUUUCAGGCAACACCCUCAUCGUGUAUAACUGCCAUGGAUUCAGUUCACAGUACGUCUACUAUCACCUAACUGGGGAGUUCUACGUGGGACAACUGAUUGCAGAGGCCAGUGAUAGUGAUUGCUGCCUGACAGACCCUGGCAAGACAGGAGAAGCCCACCUUAGAACCAUGCUCCGAGGCAGCUACGAAUGGACUGCACAUAUCUUGGGAUUUUAAACAGGCGGUAGAAAAGGAAUCUGCAAAGAGGGAGAACUAAAAGACGGAUGUCAGGAAGAGUGUUUCUUCAGCAUCGAGAUGGCAGGGGCUCAGGAAGCAGAGGGGGCUGCUGGCAG
This 548-nucleotide long non-coding RNA is filed under the name Aotus nancymaae (Ma's night monkey). RNAcentral describes it as "lncRNA (ENSANAG00000038976.1)". Lineage: Eukaryota; Metazoa; Chordata; Mammalia; Primates; Aotidae. The record is from RNAcentral.